This 492-nucleotide ribosomal RNA is filed under the name uncultured bacterium. RNAcentral describes it as "partial 16S ribosomal RNA". It matches the Rfam family "Bacterial small subunit ribosomal RNA", at positions 29 to 507 of the family's 1533-position model. The record is from RNAcentral.
AGUGAACGCUGGCGGUAGGCCUAACACAUGCAAGUCGAACGGCAGCACAGUAAGAGCUUGCUCUUACGGGUGGCGAGUGGCGGACGGGUGAGGAAUACAUCGGAAUCUACUUUUUCGUGGGGGAUAACGUAGGGAAACUUACGCUAAUACCGCAUACGACCUACGGGUGAAAGCAGGGGAUCUUCGGACCUUGCGCGAUUGAAUGGGCCGAUGUCGGAUUAGCUAGUUGGCGGGGUAAAGGCCCACCAAGGCGACGAUCCGUAGCUGGUCUGAGAGGAUGAUCAGGCACACUGGAACUGAGACACGGUCCAGACUCCUACGGGAGGCAGCAGUGGGGAAUAUUGGACAAUGGGCGCAAGCCUGAUCCAGCCAUACCGCGUGGGUGAAGAAGGCCUUCGGGUUGUAAAGCCCUUUUGUUGGGAAAGAAAAGCAGCAGGUUAAUACCCCGCUGUUCUGACGGUACCCAAAGAAUAAGCACCGGCUAACUUCGUG